This 819-nucleotide ribosomal RNA is filed under the name uncultured bacterium. RNAcentral's name for it is "bacterial SSU rRNA". It matches the Rfam family "Bacterial small subunit ribosomal RNA", at positions 61 to 888 of the family's 1533-position model. The record is from RNAcentral.
AAGCACUUCACUUUUAUUCUUCGGAUGCGAGGUGAUUUGACUGAGCGGCGGACGGGUGAGUAACGCGUGGGCAACCUGCCUCAUACAGGGGGAUAACAGUUAGAAAUGACUGCUAAUACCGCAUAAGACCGCGGUGCCGCAUGGCACAGCGGUAAAAACUCCGGUGGUAUGAGAUGGGCCCGCGUCUGAUUAGCUAGUUGGCGGGGUAACGGCCCACCAAGGCGACGAUCAGUAGCCGACCUGAGAGGGCGACCGGCCACAUUGGGACUGAGACACGGCCCAAACUCCUACGGGAGGCAGCAGUGGGGAAUAUUGCACAAUGGGGGAAACCCUGAUGCAGCGACGCCGCGUGAGCGAUGAAGUAUUUCGGUAUGUAAAGCUCUAUCAGCAGGGAAGAAGAUGACGGUACCUGACUAAGAAGCCCCGGCUAACUACGUGCCAGCAGCCGCGGUAAUACGUAGGGGGCAAGCGUUAUCCGGAUUUACUGGGUGUAAAGGGAGCGUAGACGGCGAUGCAAGCCAGAUGUGAAAGCCCGGGGCUCAACCCCGGGACUGCAUUUGGAACUGUGUGGCUGGAGUGUCGGAGAGGCAGGCGGAAUUCCUAGUGUAGCGGUGAAAUGCGUAGAUAUUAGGAGGAACACCAGUGGCGAAGGCGGCCUGCUGGACGAUGACUGACGUUGAGGCUCGAAAGCGUGGGGAGCAAACAGGAUUAGAUACCCUGGUAGUCCACGCCGUAAACGAUGACUGCUAGGUGUCGGGCGGCAAAGCCGUUCGGUGCCGCAGCAAACGCAAUAAGCAGUCCACCUGGGGAGUACGUUCG